Molecule: long non-coding RNA, 907 nt
Organism: Felis catus (domestic cat)
Lineage: Eukaryota; Metazoa; Chordata; Mammalia; Carnivora; Felidae
Exons: 4
Source: RefSeq, a predicted model, not a curated record
UUAGCUCACUUUAUCACCAGAGAUGCCGAGGACGUUUAUGAAGACACACACAUAAUUAAUGCAGAUAACUCAUUAAUUUAUGAGCCAGCUAAUCGAUACUGAGGUUAAUCUACUUAGGCAUCUGAAGAAUCACCGUGUAUCUCUCUAUUUACACUGCUGUUUGCCUUGACUCCACAUCAUCAGGUUUUUGGCGGCUGUGAAGCUGACAGUGUUGGUCACCACGUAGAGAGACGAUGGAUUAAUUUCUGCCAACGUGAUCUUCUUCCAGUGUACAGAUGGCAUAUUAAUAGCCCACAACUAGAAGCUGGCAUUUCUCAUCAGGAGAAAAGGGAGGAUCCUGGUGUCUUGAGAAUGCUAGGUGCGCAGUGCUUGUUUGACGAAUGAAUGAAGAAUGACCACAGGCAUUAAUGGAUGAGUCCAACUGACCCUUCCUUUCAUGACUCAAGAGCUUUCCCAGGAGGUGGAGAGUGUAUGCCAGUUGGCUCAGGGUGCCCAUUUUCUCCGACCUGUGUCUGGUUUGCAUCUCACAUGGAGCCAUCUGCUGAGCUCCAAGGCUCUGCUCCCUCACCCCUCAGGGGCACCAUGUCAUGGCACGUUGAGACCCCAAUAUGGAAUCCACUCGGGGUGUGUUACCCUCAGAAGCCUAGGAAAAUGGUCUAGAACCCAAUGGACUGCCUGGAACACGCUGGCCUCGUCAGUGUCGAAGGCCAUGUUGGGGCCACCCAGAGGUACCUACAGAUUCACGGGCGGUUGUGAGAGAUGAUGCCGAGAGACGCCGUGUCCUCUUCACCUGGUUUCCCCCAAUGGCAGCAUCAUGGAAACCGUAGUGCAAAUUCAAUACCCGAUCUCCUCUGACAACACAGAGAGAGCACCGGGCGCACGCUCAGAGCCCUCCGUUGCGUGGCUA